GAUGAACGCUGGCGGCGUGCCUAAUACAUGCAAGUCGAGCGAACAGAUGAGGAGCUUGCUCCUCUGACGUUAGCGGCGCACGGGUGAGUAACACGUGGAUACCCUACCUAUAAGACUGGGAUAACUUCGGGAAACCGGAGCUAAUACCGGAUAAUAUAUUGAACCGCAUGGUUCAAUAGUGAAAGACGGUUUUGCUGUCACUUAUAGAUGGAUCCGCGCCGCAUUAGCUAGUUGGUAAGGUAACGGCUUACCAAGGCAACGAUGCGUAGCCGACCUGAGAGGGUGAUCGGCCGCACUGGAACUGAGACACGGUCCAGACUCCUACGGGAGGCAGCAGUAGGGAAUCUGCCGCGAAGAGCGAAAGCCUGACGGAGCCACGCCGCGUGAGUGAUGAAGGUCUUCGGAUCGUAAAACUCUGUUAUUAGGGAAGAACAAAUGUGUAAGUAACUAUGCACGUCUUGACGGUACCUGAUCAGAAAGCCACGGCUAACUACGUG
This 497-nucleotide ribosomal RNA is filed under the name uncultured bacterium. RNAcentral's name for it is "partial 16S ribosomal RNA". It matches the Rfam family "Bacterial small subunit ribosomal RNA", at positions 28 to 507 of the family's 1533-position model. The record is from RNAcentral.